Molecule: long non-coding RNA, 716 nt
Filed under: Acanthaster planci (crown-of-thorns starfish)
Lineage: Eukaryota; Metazoa; Echinodermata; Asteroidea; Valvatida; Acanthasteridae
Description: uncharacterized LOC110990483, transcript variant X2
Source: RNAcentral
CUCACUGCUCUAUACCUUGGAUAGGGGGCUCAGUAGUGACCACGCGGCCGUCUUAGGAUAUUCAGUAAAAUGGUCUCCAACUUUAUCCCAUUCACUAAGUACAUUCAUGCGCGGCGCUAAAGCCGGUGACUUGGAAAAUUCCUUGUAUUGAAUAGCCUGCUUCAAUUCGCAGAGCCGAGCUGUCUAUCCAGUGUAUAGAGAUCAGUGGUGGCGUUGAACGAACGGUUCGUAAUCGUAGUUGAGCAACGAGGGAUUGGACCAUGGUCUAAUUAAUCAACCACUUGGAACCAUGCCUUGAGACCCAACCGAUUGAGCCAUUCACAUGGAAAUUACUGUAAGAGAUAUUGACCAUGAACGCUGCUGCGGAGAGUUGCAACCAACGGGAAACUGGUCGCACCGAAAAAUUGGGGUCGAUCGGGAAACCGGAAGCAGAACAAUGUUGGGGGCCCAACAUCUGUUUACAAUGGGUACACGAGGGGCAUAUCGUUGGCCAAGUUCACCAGUCACUGUCCAGGAAAUGGUUGGCCACUUUAAAGGCACGAACGGCCGCCCAACUGCUCAGAACGACCAGCGCUUACCUUCAGCCAGCAACACACUGGAAGAGAAGAUUGUAAGCAAGAGAUUACCAGUGUGGAAGCCGAUUUGAAGUCCAGAUAAAGCAGCGCGACGUCUACUUCGAGAUUCCGUCUUAGACCCGGACGUGAAGAAGACUCUUC